GUCUAUGGCCUGCCACCCUGAACAAGCCCAAUGUCUGAUCUCAGGAGCUAAGCAAGGUCAGGCCUGGUUAGUACUUGGAUGGGAGACCACCUAGGAAGACCAGGUGCUGUAGGCA
This is a non-coding RNA of Pteropus alecto (black flying fox), 115 nucleotides long. NCBI's taxonomy places the organism in Eukaryota, Metazoa, Chordata, Mammalia, Chiroptera, Pteropodidae. The record is from Rfam.